AGUUGAGAUUCAGACCUUGACAGUUGUAACCGAUAGACUGGGCUGGGGCAACGCUGAUGAAAGGCAAAUUCCUGAGAGAAAAAUCACCCAGACUUUCUAGAAGUUGUUAUGAGUGGACCUGACUACCUAGAGAGAGUAAUACAGAAGCUCCGUGCCGAUCACAGCUACCUCAUUACCAUGUUCCUCCAAGAUGGCCGCCCCUGAGGAGAAUCAUCAACUGGGCUUUACGGAAGAGAGAAAUCCAAACGACCAUCAGCAACAAAUGAAAGACUGAAGUUGAAAGGAAAUCCAUAAUUUUUGAAUGCUGGCCGAGGUCUGUGACCUCUGACUGAAUGGUUUCCAAGCUCCGAAUUCCUAGGUGAUGUUUUCAUUUGUUCACACUUGCUGAAGAAGGGAAAGGCUCUCUGAUUUACGUGUAAGCAAAACAAUCUAAACAGUAGGAUAAAAUCAUGUUGGAAUGGAGUUCUGUGUGGAUGCUCCUUUGAACCAAAUCAGUUCCACAACUGACCCUGUCAGGGACAUAUAAAUUUAGCAUUUUGGUGUGGAUACAGAAGACGAGAUUAACACAGAUCAAGUAACAUGGAAAUAAAAAAGGAGACAAUGCUGGAUGAUACAGGGGCAGCCAACAAGAGGAGAAAACCCAAGCAUUGGCAAAUGCCUCAUUAUCCAAAGAACACUGAGGUGUGGAGCAAAACUGUGUUGAAUGAACUGUAGAUGGAAAUUCUCUCCUUCCCACCGAGGAGCCGCUGCAGGUUGCAGACUCCCAGAAUGCCACACUGAGAAGAGGAGGGCUAAAAUUCUAGAGCAGAAUCCCUGGGGCAGCCCCUGCUGAAGAAGGGUGCAUCUGUUGAGAAUCUCAUCACCGCCCCCACCCCGCCCAGCCUUCAAUUUAGAGGAAUUUCUAGUUCACGCAGAAUGAAGACAAGAUCACAUAAGUGAGGACGACGCCCCAUUUACAAGUGUGAUUUGGAAGACUGAAGUGGAAACCUUGGGAAGGGGCCUCAGAGUAUGUCAGCUGGGGUCAGACGGGAACAGGAGUCUGGCUCAACACACAUUUAUUGCACUCCUGUUUCAUGCCAAGAAAUGUACCAAAAUCUGGGACUGUGUAACACAGCAAAGGAAAAGACUCAUCUCCAGGAAGCCCCCUUGUCUAGGAAGAGAAAUUGAAUAUCAGCAUAAGGUGGUGAAAAGCUGUGAAGGAGAUGAGUGCCAGGAGUCCAUGGAGGAAGGAUUCUAGCCUGGACAGGUGAGGAAUGGCUUUCUGGAAGAAGCAGAUGCCCCAGCUGAACUUUAAAAUGCCCAUGUGAAAUGAACUGUCUGUAUCUUCAAUCAGCAAAUGGAGUAGGUGGCCACUGUUUAAUUCUGGAAUGGGGAAGUGUAAAGGUGUGGUGUGUGUGUUUACCCCUACUUAGGGAUUCAAAACAGACAGUAAAGAACAAAAGUCUAGCCCUUUGAGCAUUCUCCAUGGGACAUUUGAGGUCUAGCUGGCCCCAGAGAAAGAGAGACAGAAGCAAGGUCAUAUCCAUUUGAGAAAAUCAAAGUGUCUGCUCCAAUUGAGUCUGGUGUCCUUAUUCCUGGAAUAGCCAUCCCUACUGCUCUGGUGCUGAUUUACCUCCGGCAGUUCAGUGCUUCCUGGAAGGUGAUUGUGGUGAAUAGUCAUGAGAAUCUGGGAACUGGCUCCUGCUCUGUCUAUCUUGGAGAUGCAUCUUUUGUGAGAAGCCAGGGCAAGAAUAGGGAGGCUUAGGCAAUGGGAAGUUUCUGAGUAGAUAAAGCAGAUGGCAGAGCAAAGGGACAGAGCCUGGCGAGAGGCUACUCCCUGUAGCAACCUGCCUAAGAGUGAGAGGAAAGCAAGGCAUGGCUAUGAGCACGUGUAGUCUCAGCUACUUGGGAAGCUGAGGCUGGGGGAUCACUUGAGCCCAGGAGUUCAAGACCAGCCUAGGCAACAUAGUGAGACCAUGUCUCUUUAAAAAAAAAAAAAAAAAGAAAAAGGGAGAGAGAGAAAAAAAGGUGACAAUUCCCCCAACACACAUAAAGUACAUAAGAGUUAACAAGGACACAGUGGCAGAAAAUAGUCAGAACUGAGCAAGCAUCAGUGAGGAAAUGUUUUCCUGAGGAGACUUGAGAAGUCUCAAAAAUGAAAAGAAAGAGUAUUUGGUGUAGAAAGAAUGGCAUGAGAUGUGAAAGCUCAUUCAUCCAUUUAUUCCAGGUAUAUCUUUUUCUUCAGUACUUUGGGAGGCAAUAGGUGUAAUAGCAAGAACAUUCAGGUUAGUGGGUUAGUGUGAGUCUGCCAUAUGUAUGAGGGUUGAAUACACAUUAGGUGUGGUGACUGUCAUAUGGGAGGCACUGCAAGGUGAAGGAGACAUGUCCUCACAUUUGGUCUUUGGGAAGCGAAGCAGGCAGAAACCCAAGUGCAAAGUGGCCAUUUGUUUUCCUAAUGCUAGAUAAGUACCUGAUGUGUUGGAAGGGUGGAGUAGAACUAGAAACUCCUGGAAGUUCUUUUAAGAACGAAUGCAGGACCUCAUCAGCCCGAGUCUUUAAAUAAGUCACACAUUUUUGGUCACCACAUUCUGGAAGGGGGACAAAAAGAUCUGUCACAGACAAAAUUUGGAGAUAUUUAAGGCUUUGUUGACUUUGGCAAAUGCUUGAUUAUAGUUCUGUGGUCUGUUUGUUUUCUAGAGUCUCCAUGAAUUGCAAGGGAAAACAAGUGGUACACUGGUAUUUCUAUUUGAUAACCUGUUCUCUUUGGAAUUCCGGUUAGAAAUCAAAGGCUUACUUGAGUUUUAAUGCUUUCGGGACUUCAAAUGCUUUUCUAUCUUCCUAAUAAUAUAUUAACAUUUUCUGAAGACAACAUAUAUGUGGAAAACAACAUUAUUUACUCAAAUAAUUUUUUUUGAAAAAUGGACCAAAAAAAAAGAAAAA
Molecule: long non-coding RNA, 2919 nt
Filed under: Homo sapiens (human)
Lineage: Eukaryota; Metazoa; Chordata; Mammalia; Primates; Hominidae
Description: non-protein coding LINC01206:8
Source: RNAcentral